UAAUACUUUUCACCCCGAAACUCUAUGAGCUGUAAAUUAUUUGCUAAGAGCCCACUGAUGGGUGUGUCAAUACCCUCACAAAAAUAAUUCGCAGGGGCUACAUACCUACCGCGUAGAGUGAUAGCUGGUUUCUCAUUAACCCAGUAUAAGCUGACCCAACUGAAAACAAAUUCCACCCCGCCCCCUCAGUUAUGUAAAUAGGCCGAGGACAAGCCCGACCUAUGCCCUUAUUAAAUAAAAAACAAAGAAAAAAGUAGGCCCAAAACCAGCCACCUGAAAUUUCGUCAAAGUAAAAAAAAAAUAAAAAUAUAAAAUCAAAUAUAAAAAAAUGAAAUAUAAGUACAAACUAUAUACUUAACAACUAUGCAAAGAUUAGUAUUCUUAUAAAUAAUAUAGGCCCACAUGUAAAGAAGGAACUCGGCAAACCUCAGCUCCGACUGUUUAACAAAAACAUAGCCUGUUGAAUAAUUAUAACAGGUAAACCCUGCCCAGUGACCCAGUUCAACGGCCGCGGUACCCUGACCGUGCAAAGGUAGCAUAAUCACUUGCCUUUUAAUUAGAGGCUGGUAUGAAUGGACAAACGAGAGCAAAGCUGUCUCCUUUACAAACAUAAAAAUUUACCUUCAGGUGAAGAGGCCUGAAUCAAUAUAAAAGACAAGAAGACCCUGUCGAGCUUUAGUCAAAAUAAAUCCACAAUUACAACAAAUAUUAAAAUUUAAAUAUGACUUUUGUUGGGGCGACAAAGGAAUACACAAAUCUUCCUACACAAAAAAGAAAAUAAUUCUUACAAAUGAUCCAAUAUAUGAUUAAUAAAAGAAGCUACCGCAGGGAUAACAGACUAAUCUUCCUUAAGAGCCCAAAUCUACAGGAAGGAUUGGCACCUCGAUGUUGGCUUAAGAAGUCUUUUAGAUGUAGCAGUCUAAAAAGAAGGUUUGUUCAACCUUUAAUCUCUUACAUGAG
Molecule: ribosomal RNA, 960 nt
Filed under: Leodice antarctica
Lineage: Eukaryota; Metazoa; Annelida; Polychaeta; Eunicida; Eunicidae
Description: partial 16S ribosomal RNA
Rfam family: Archaeal large subunit ribosomal RNA
Source: RNAcentral